CCCUACGGGGUGCACCAGGCAUAUUCCAAAAUCGGAUAUUCCAAAUGCGAUCAUCGAGCUGGAGGCGGAGAUGAUGGCAGCGGCGGAGCGUCUGGAGUUCGAGAGGGCCAUUCAGCUCCGGGAUACCGUCCGCAGGCUGGAGAGGGAGAUGAAGGUGGCUUGAAAAGAGACCAUAAGCAGCAUCUCUCUUUCCAGAGCUGUGAAUUCAAAGGGCCCCAGUGAUCGGAUGAGCGGUGGGAUGGAAGCGAGGGAGGAAGAGGCCCAAAAAGAGAUUACCAGAGGGGUUUCCCUGUGGAUCGGAGAGC
RNAcentral lists this ribosomal RNA (305 nucleotides) under uncultured prokaryote. Its description in RNAcentral is "partial 16S ribosomal RNA". The record is from RNAcentral.